This 257-nucleotide ribosomal RNA is filed under the name uncultured bacterium. RNAcentral describes it as "partial 16S ribosomal RNA". It matches the Rfam family "Bacterial small subunit ribosomal RNA", at positions 524 to 776 of the family's 1533-position model. The record is from RNAcentral.
UACAGAGACCUCAAGCGUUAUCCGGAAUCAUUGGGCGUAAAGCGUACCGAUAGGUGGUCUUGAAAGUUUUGGGUAAAAGCCAGAAGCUCAACUUCUGAGUUUGCUCAAAAUACUGCAAGACUAGAGGGGCAAAGAGGAGAUUGGAACGAACGGUGUAGUAGUGAAAUGCGUUGAUAUCGUUCGGAACACCGAAAGCGAAGGCAGAUCUCUGGGUGCCACCUGACACUGCUAGGACGAAAGCGUGGGGAGCGAAUGGG